Small nucleolar RNA from Carya illinoinensis, 108 nucleotides. Lineage: Eukaryota; Viridiplantae; Streptophyta; Magnoliopsida; Fagales; Juglandaceae. The record is from RefSeq and is a predicted model, not a curated record.
UACCCAUGAUGGGGGAAAACAUUAAGUAAAUCUUUGAAUCUCUCCCAACAUUGGUAAAAAGUUUCAGUAUCUUUUUGUGCAAAGUUCAUAAUUUGUCUUUUUAAUUCA